UGCUCGUCUGUGUUCCUUGUCGCACCAUAGCGCCGAGGGCAGCACGGGCUGCUCUCAAACACGAGGUUUAUUUUUAUAAGUUUACUAGAAGCUUUUAAAUUACCUGCAUUCAUUGUAAGGUAACCCUAGCCAUUUGUAGAAGAGGGAAAGAUUUGCCACGUAACGCCUUUCCUCUCAGCAGCUUCUCACCAGGAACACCAAAUCCUCAGCUUUAUUCAUAAUAGGAUGCUAAAAGUGGUUUGUUUUUUUUUUAAUAAAAUGUAAUUUUGCAUGGAAGUGGGUUUAAUUUUGCUUUAAUUAUACAAGCGAAACAAGAUCUGGAAAUGGCAUGUGUCCCAACAAACCAAAUUGCUAGGUAAAUUGGUUUUACUAUAAUUUGAUAACAAGAAAUUGCCUCUGAAGCUGAGAUCUUGCACGCCCUGUUGCUAAAACAGAUUAACACAAACUUUUACAGCUAAAUUAUAAACCUGUGAAAGGUUUACUUCCAACCAGAAAGGGCUAUUAAUAGCAUUGCAAGCAGUGGCGCUAGGAUAAUAUUAGUAACAACAUUUGUAUAUUGUUUUAUAGAUGCACCAGGUUGCUCUGUGUAUUUAUGGGAACGGCUAAAGUCGUCUCAGAAUUUUGGAUGUUGCUGAAGGGGAGGGUGCUGGCUCCAGUCCUGAUGGCAAGGAGAGUUUUCCAUGGCUCCGGUGACGGGUGGCGUGCCCUGUGUGUGGUUGAAGCAGUGCACCCAACACCCCCUGUUUACACCCCAGCACAGGCUCCGGCAGAAAGCAGACAACAGAUCCAGAAGGCUAUAAAAGGCACCUGAAAACCAAAAUUCUCUGCGUACAGGGAAGAGACUGUCCCAUCUCCUAACACUGUCCUUGUUCAGGAAGAAAACCCUUAUGUUCCUCCAUAAAAUUCCUGCAUGGUGAAAGGGAAAAUUUUCUCAAGAUCCCAGUCUCUGCUGGCUUCUGGAUUGUCAGAUGGAAUAUGAUGCAUGAUGUCCUAAAUGGGUUGAUUCCUGGUUACCUGAAGGAGAGAGACUGAUACUGCUGCUUGCAAGACUGUUGGAGGUAUCUGGGCUAAUAGACUCUUCAGUCACAAGAUGGUUGCCACAGAAGGAUCCAGGACUUUUCUUGAAAAUUAGUUUCCCCCAUCAGAUGAACUAAUUCCUGAAUCUCUGAAUGAACUGGGCAAAAUACUAAUGAUCUGGAGCCAAAACAAGAAGUUUCCAAAAAAGGACACAAGGACACAACAUAAAUAAUGACAGAAGAAAGUGAGGCUGAGAAGUUACUUGUCCUUAUGGCCCAGACAACUAUCAGCAGAGCCAGACCCAGAGUCCAGCUCCUAGACCUAGAUCUUAGCUUGUUGGACUGCGGGGCCACUGGAUGCCAACAGAUACCAUGCGGUCAUCUGGCAGGUGUGUCCAGGCUUGUGGAUUUGAAUUAGCUGCCCGUUACGGUGUAGGAGAUGGAUAAGGGGAAUGUUUGGUGGUGAUGCUGUGAUUCAGCAGCAGAGGGAAAUUUCUUGUGUCCCCUCCCAAAUACCUUGGGAACUCCA
Calidris pugnax (ruff) is the source of this 1545-nucleotide long non-coding RNA. RefSeq lists it as uncharacterized. The transcript is spliced from 5 exons. The record is from RefSeq and is a predicted model, not a curated record. NCBI's taxonomy places the organism in Eukaryota, Metazoa, Chordata, Aves, Charadriiformes, Scolopacidae.